UACGAAGGGUGCAAACGUUGCUCGGAAUUAUUGGGCGUAAAGCGCACGUAGGCGGCUUGGCAAGUCGGAUGUGAAAUCCCUCGGCUCAACCAAGGAAGUGCAUCCGAAACUGCUGAGCUUGAGUACUUAAGAGGAUCGCGGAAUUCCCGGUGUAGAGGUGAAAUUCGUAGAUAUCGGGAGGAACACCAGUGGCGAAGGCGGCGAUCUGGGAAGAUACUGACGCUGAGGUGCGAAAGCGCGGGGAGCAAACAGG
This 253-nucleotide ribosomal RNA is filed under the name uncultured bacterium. RNAcentral's name for it is "partial 16S ribosomal RNA". It matches the Rfam family "Bacterial small subunit ribosomal RNA", at positions 524 to 776 of the family's 1533-position model. The record is from RNAcentral.